GAUUCAAUGGAUGCGUAUUUGCGGACCGCGAUAUCCGGGCAGGUCGCAAGGUCUGCAACAGCAUCCGAGCUUAAAGGUCGGGGAUUAUCCAUGAAGGCGGGGAUUGCGCCGUACCUUGAAAAGGCCUCUCUUGCACUCCACUUUCAUGUA
This 150-nucleotide small RNA is filed under the name Sinorhizobium meliloti 2011. Its description in RNAcentral is "putative ncRNA". Lineage: Bacteria; Pseudomonadati; Pseudomonadota; Alphaproteobacteria; Hyphomicrobiales; Rhizobiaceae. The record is from RNAcentral.